RNAcentral lists this ribosomal RNA (653 nucleotides) under Trichoderma citrinoviride. RNAcentral describes it as "eukaryotic LSU rRNA". The stretch from base 276 to 429 matches the Rfam family "5.8S ribosomal RNA". The record is from RNAcentral. Lineage: Eukaryota; Fungi; Ascomycota; Sordariomycetes; Hypocreales; Hypocreaceae.
GGUAAGGGUGUAACAAGGGGUGGUCGUUGGUGAACCAGCGGAGGGAGGUAUUACCGAGUUUACAACGGUCCAAACCCAAUGUGAACGUUACCAAGGUUGUUGCCUCGGCGGGAUUCUCUGCCCCGGGCGCGUCGCAGCCCCGGAUCCCAUGGCGCCCGCCGGAGGACCAACUCAAACUCUUUUUUCUCUCCGUCGCGGCCUACGUCGCGGCUCUGUUUUAUUUUUGCUCUGAGCCUUUCUCGGCGACCCGGUCGGGCGUCUCGAAAAUGAAUCAAAACUUUCAACAACGGAUCUCUUGGUUCUGGCAUCGAUGAAGAACGCAGCGAAAUGCGAUAAGUAAUGUGAAUUGCAGAAUUCAGUGAAUCAUCGAAUCUUUGAACGCACAUUGCGCCCGCCAGUAUUCUGGCGGGCAUGCCUGUCCGAGCGUCAUUUCAACCCUCGAACCCCUCCGGGGGGUCGGCGUUGGGGAUCGGCCCCUCACCGGGCCGCCCCCGAAAUACAGUGGCGGUCUCGCCGCAGCCUCUCCUGCGCAGGGUUUUGCACACUCGCACCGGGAGCGCGGCGCGGCCACAGCCGUAAAACACCCCAAACUCUGAAAUGUUGACCUCGGAUCAGGGGUGAAUACCCGCUGAACUUAAGCAUAUCAAUAAGCG